AAGAACAGAAGGUUUAUAGAUCGAUACAAACCCUCAGUCAUCUUCUUCGUCUUCUACUUCUUCACUUCCAAAAUGUUCAAAAAGUUUUCGUAUGAAGAUGUAUCCUCACAGAACCAAGUGAAGGCGUCUGUGCAGCGAAAAAUUCGACAGAGUAUUGCAGAUGAGUACCCAGGACUUGAACCUGUUUUGGAAGAUUUGCUUCCAAAGAAGUCCCCUUUAAUUGUUGCCAAAUGUCAGAAUCAUCUGAAUCUGGUGAUGGUGAACAAUGUCCCCCUGUUUUUUAAUGUCCGUGAUGGGCCUUACAUGCCUACCCUACGACUUCUUCAUCAAUAUCCAAACAUAAUGAAAAAGUUACAAGUAGACAGGGGUGCAAUAAAAUUUGUCCUUGCUGGUGCAAACAUAAUGUGUCCUGGACUUACAUCUCCAGGUGGUGCUUUGGAUGAAGAAGUGGAAGCAGAAACUCCUGUGGCUAUAAUGGCUGAAGGAAAACAGCAUGCUCUUGCGAUUGGCUUUACAAAAAUGUCAGCAAAAGACAUAAAGGCAAUCAACAAAGGAAUUGGGGUAGACAACAUGCAUUAUCUGAAUGAUGGUCUGUGGAAGGUAGUUCCUUGUGAAAUCUUGUGCUUCUAGUUCAUCCAUGAGCCUUAAAAUGUUGCCAACUUCCAUUUUUAUGUUAUUCAAUUCAAUAGUGAUAGUUGCUACUAAGAUAGGCAUUCUUUUAUGGAACAUUUUAUCCUUCAGAAUUUAAAUUAGUGAAAUAGUUUGGCAUGAGGAAGCACAUUAAAUGCCUGUAUCCUGUAGUACUUGUUAUGCUUGUAUUGAUGUGUUCCAGAUUUUCAUGUCACACUUUAGUUCUUUUUCUGAUGUAGCUGCGCUUUAUAUGUUUACUUUUGAUUUGACACGAUGUGACUGGUAAUAGUGGGAAAUAUGAAUUAUUAAUUAACUAGCUGCAUCUUGCAGAUGGAGCGUCUCGAUUGAAGAUUUGCCAAGAGCAACUGCAGUAACAUCUAAAUUCAAGACAAAGAAAGUUAAGUUUAUUGGCAUCAUGCUUGCACUGCAGCUGUCCGUCUUGUAGAUGUUGCAAAAAGGAGUUGUGUAAAUUUUUGUUCGGUUAUCUUUUUUUGUUUCCUUAUAAACAUUACAGAUAUUGUUUUUACCUCAAAGAUUUUUCCCUUAAUCAGGUUAUUAUGCCUUUUCCUGUACUUCAGUUUAACUCCCCUUCCAGUGGGUGUUCUGAAAUCCAGGAUGUUUGCCCAGUUAACUUACUUAUGUGAUUGGUUUCGAUUGAUGAGGAGAUUGUUUUGAUUUAACAUUAUUUGAAGUAGUGAUUAUUCUUCGUGCUGCCAAAGCAAAGAGGU
This 1358-nucleotide unclassified non-coding RNA is filed under the name Hevea brasiliensis (rubber tree). Lineage: Eukaryota; Viridiplantae; Streptophyta; Magnoliopsida; Malpighiales; Euphorbiaceae. The record is from RNAcentral.